RNAcentral lists this ribosomal RNA (500 nucleotides) under uncultured bacterium. RNAcentral describes it as "partial 16S ribosomal RNA". It matches the Rfam family "Bacterial small subunit ribosomal RNA", at positions 30 to 523 of the family's 1533-position model. The record is from RNAcentral.
AUUGAACGCUGGCGGCAUGCCUUACACAUGCAAGUCGAACGGCAGCACGGGAGCAAUCCUGGUGGCGAGUGGCGAACGGGUGAGUAAAGUAUCGGAGCGUGCCCAGUCGUGGGGGAUAACGUAGCGAAAGUUACGCUAAUACCGCAUACGAUCUAUGGAUGAAAGCGGGGGAUCGCAAGACCUCGCGCGAUUGGAGCGGCCGAUAUCAGAUUAGGUAGUUGGUGGGGUAAAGGCUCACCAAGCCGACGAUCUGUAGCUGGUCUGAGAGGACGACCAGCCACACUGGGACUGAGACACGGCCCAGACUCCUACGGGAGGCAGCAGUGGGGAAUUUUGGACAAUGGGCGAAAGCCUGAUCCAGCCAUGCCGCGUGCAGGAUGAAGGCCUUCGGGUUGUAAACUGCUUUUGUACGGAACGAAAAGCCCCGGGUUAAUACCCUGGGGUCAUGACGGUACCGUAAGAAUAAGCACCGGCUAACUACGUGCCAGCAGCCGCCGUAA